GGGGCCCUAGUAAAACCAUUACGUAACACUGUCAGUGUUAAAUUACAAGUACACCAAACCCUGUGAUCCCCA
This 72-nucleotide transfer RNA is filed under the name Uromastyx benti (Yemeni spiny-tailed lizard). RNAcentral's name for it is "tRNA-Asp". The record is from RNAcentral. Lineage: Eukaryota; Metazoa; Chordata; Lepidosauria; Squamata; Agamidae.